Molecule: unclassified non-coding RNA, 200 nt
Filed under: soil metagenome
Description: partial contains internal transcribed spacer 2 and large subunit ribosomal RNA
Source: RNAcentral
GUAUGCCUGUUCGAGCGUCAUUUCACCUCUCAAGCAUCAGCUUGGUAUUGGAUCUCAUCCGCAAGGAUGUUUCCGAAAAUUAGUGGCAGUCUGGGAACCUUCAAGCGCAGUGAAAAUUAUCGCUCUGAACUACUCUGGCUUGCCAAAAAACACAUCAACAUCUUGACCUCGGAUCAGGUAGGGAUACCCGCUGAACUUAA